CCUUUCUCCAUCAUCUCCCCCACCCGGAGUUGAGGCUGAGCUUCUCAGUUGCUAGGCAACAGGGGUCACAGUUUUCAGGUCUUCAACCUAGUCAAAAAGAAGACAUGAUCUUCAGAGAAAAGGCGGAUACUCGGCAGCAGUGAGAAUUUCAAUACAUACGGAGGUUUCUGAUUUUUUUUUAUCAUGCUAAAGGCUGAAAUGGAGAAAUUUUGACUUGUCAAAAGAUUGUGGGAACAGGUUUUUAAGUUCUGGUGAUUAGAAUCUAUCACUGAAACAAUAUGAAGAAAAUACAGUCAAGCCUCUUUUUGAUGAACGCACUGACAUGUGGCUUAGGAUUUUAGCUGCCAGGAGAAUGAUGAUCAAGACACGUCAAAAACAGAUCUUGGGAGAUGAAUUUGGGGGCUGAUUUGGAGAUGAGGGUUUUUUGGUUUGGGUUUUUUGGUUUGGUUUUAACAUUCCUUCUCAGACAUUACUGCAUUCUGGCAUGUUUAAGAGCAGUGCUGCAGGCAACACAGCCGCUCCUGAAGGUCAGCUGCAAGAAAGCUCAUUCCCCACCCCUUUUCCUAGCACCAAGUCAGCACUCCCUUUAAACUUUAAUAAAGGGCAGGAGAAAGAACCUAUUCCUCAACCGGAGAGGAACACGGCACCACUAUGUAAUUGCAUUUGACAGUACAUUCUGUAGAAUCGUUCUUGGACACUGCUCUCACUGAGCUUACCGUCAGGACUUGAUUUCCAUGGAGAAGUUUGAUUCCCUCCAAUACGCUGGCUGCCAGCCCUCCUCACUAAGAAAGUGCCCAUCCUACUGGAUCACAGCUGCCCGGUCACUAUUCAGCACAUACAGGCACUAAGCAAAGCACAGAACUGGACACUGCAGAGGAAACAAGAACAAAAGUUCCUGCAGCCGCUCAAAAUCCAACAAGGAGAAGACUUUCAUGGGAUGAAAAAAUAACUGUGAUACCAGUACUAAACAUUCGAAAAUAGGGAGAAAAAAAAAAAGUAGAAAUUGAGCUACAGCUUCAGCGCUGAUGCCUGCGCAGUCACAAGACGCUCUGCACAGACGGGGUAUCAAGCCAGAGCCCACGUCCAGCAAUUGGCCACACUGAGGUCAGAAUGAAAUCAUUCUGGAAAAACUGGAAAUGCUCUCCUAGGCCACACUAUUUUGAAAUGAUCCUCAGAAGCGUGAUAAGUAUCAGAGGCGGCAAGCUGUAGCCGCCUGAGUUAAACCUAGCUGCGUUCCCUCAUCUGUGUGUUAGGGCCUUAAGAUUUACAGAAAAUCUCAAACCACUGAUUUGACAGUGCAACCUUUAAAACACGGCCAAGCCUUCCAGGGCUUCUGGCUUCUCCAUAUCACCUUUAUGUGCAUGAAGGUACUUUCCUUUUUGCCUAUUUCCCUACAUAUGCUCUCAAUGCUAUUAAGAUAUCAAAUGCAGGAAUGACAACAAGAGAGUCCUAAUUAAACAGCAGCAGCGUGUGCCCUCGAAGGAACAGCCUGAACCCAAAUAAGUGGAGCUUGGGACCGGAAAGGGGGAAAAAGACAAUGGGGGCUUUGAAAUCAGCUGGGUUUAACGCAACGGGUCUGUUGUGUGUAUUUAAAAGGCCAGAUGACACGAAGGGCUCUCCGUGCUGUUAGGACAGAGACCAAGCUCUGGAUUCACCAAGACAGAUGGGUAAUAGUCACUGAGUCCUGUGACCAGAAUCCAAUUGUAAUUGGCCUCAGAGAUCACUUAUGGCAAUCAGGGAAGUAAUAGGCUUCUGAAUAAUUAUGAAUAAUUAGGCACAUUUAUGAAUAAUUACACCGAUAAUAACUAUCUAAUUCACUCCAUUUUAAAAUAGUAAUUCAGUCAUUAUGGAUUGGGUGCUCACUCCCUUCAUCCUGCCUCUGCAUAUUCAUGGCCUAAUCCAUCCUCCAAUCUUACAAUGACUGGAGUCCCUCUCCAGGUCAGCACUGGACUCACCUUGGGGACAAAGGACCAUCCUGGUCCUCGGGGUUGGAGUUUCCUAUCCCUUUGAUUAAUUUGAGAGGACUCUGGGCAGUAGAGAGAUCAGAAAGGAUAUAAGAAAAUAUUUUCCUAAAACAUCGAAGCUUUGCCAUCUUGUGACUCAUUUAUCAAUAUGCAAAUGACUUCAAAGUAAUGUCCACGAGCUCUUUGCUCUUUUCAAUACUGAUGAUAAAAAGAAGCAGCUGCUUGCACAUGUCAUUGUAGAGAAUACCAGUGCAUUAGACAAGGGCAGUCUUUUUAUAGCAUUUCUGAUCGAGUACUAGUCUGCUUAGAAAAUCAGGAGUCCUGGCUGAGUGCGGUGGCUCACACCUGUAAUCCCAGCACUUUGGGAGGCCAAGAUGGGCAGAUUGCCUGAGCCCAGGAGUUUGAGACAAACCUGGGCAACAAAGGGAGACCUUGUCUCUACAAAAAAUAAUAAAUAACAAAAAUUAGCCAGGCGUGGUGGCGUGCACCUGCAGACCCAGCUAGCUACUUGGGAUGCUGAGGUGGGAGAGUCACUGGAGCCCAGGAGGUUGAGGCUGAAGUGAGUCAAGAUCGCACCACUACACACUCCAGCCUGGGCAACAGAGCAAGACUCUGUCAAAAAAAGAAAGGAAGAAAGGAAGGAAUGAAGGAAGGAAGGAAGUCAGAAGCCCCGAUUUGAAGAUGGAAUCUUAAAAUGAUGUGUCCUCAGGCUUCAGACAUAAUAUGUCCUCGCCCUGUGGCCAUAUUCUUUCCUCCCCCAUAUUCUCUCCUUUUCUUUUAUUUCUGUUCCUCCCCCUUUUCUUUCCCUCCCCCCUCCACCAUCGUUUGCCUACUUCUCUAUCACUUUCAUAUCUCUUCCUGUUAUAUUCCAACAACGACAAUCAAAAGUUAGCUUAUAUUUUUCUGAUUCCAAACAUACUGUCUGUGAACUCAAAAAAAUUUAAAAACAUCGGGAUGAGAAAUUUUUUUAAAAAGUUAAAAAUCAAUAAUCUCAGCACCAGAGAGAAGCAAUAUUAACUUAAUACAGUAUUUUAAGGUGUUUUCUAAACAUACUUUACACAACUGAGAUUGCAAAAACAAUUUUGCAUCUUGACAUUUCCCUGAACCUUAUAGAAUCAGCAUUUUCCUUAUUGUUAAAAACUCAUGUUUGAUGGUAAAAUCAUAAAAUAUGAAAGUAUACAUGAUCAUUAAUUCCCUAAACUUUGGCAACUCAAUAUUUCCCAUUUGUGCUAUUUUGCCAUGCUCUUUUGUGGGGCAGUCUUCUUUUGUUCUUAUAUCUCGCCACAUUCUUUCCUGUUCCUUUCUCUUCCUCUUAAAUUAAGACUUGGGUAUAAGGAGGUAUGCUGCCCCUGAAUUAAGACAGGGGAAUAACGUGACUGGUUUAGUGCACAGGAAGGCUUACCACACACAAUCUUUUCAGGUACAAGCAACAUUAAUAUCCCGCAGUUUAACUAUCAACAAAAUCUUUUAUGCAGAAUUAACCAUAACAGAAUUCCAUCUUGGACCCAACCCAAGGGGGCUCAGUAACUGAAAUACAUUAUGAUGCAUCCUUUCCUGAGGCUUGAUUACAGGAAAAUUGAGACAUAAAUGGCAUCCUAUUGAGCUUCUGGAAUACUAGUUUCCAAAUAAUUAUCAAUGGAUCCCAUACAUGAGAAUUGCCCAGGGAGCUUUUUAAAAAUGUGUCUUCCCGGACUGCACCAAGUGAUAUUUUGAUUUAAGAGAUCAGGAGGGAGGAUCAGGCUGGGCAGGAAAGAAGGCAGCAGAUAUGCAGUCUCAUGUCUGCCAUGCCAAGAAUCCUGCAUGUAAUUUACCGAGGAGCAAUAUGGUCUGAUGAGUGGCAUGGUCAGACAGACAAAGGAGAAUGAAGACUCCCAUGCAAGUGACUGGCAGACACUGGCUGAUCAUGAGAAAGGACACCAUGUGGUAUGAAGACAGGGCUGGAAGUAUGUGGAUCAGUUAAGAAAUUGUGGUAACCCAGAAAUCUAGUUUACAAAUGAUGAGAACAUGAAAUGAGGCAGUACCGUAGGGGAGUGGAGAAGCACAUUGAUAUGAAAGCUGUAUAUGGUAGAGUUAAUAAACUCAUGUGAAUGUUGGAUGUGAGAACUAAAAGUCAAAAUCAGGAUGACCCCCAGUUACCUGACUAGAAUGAAAUCCAG
RNAcentral lists this long non-coding RNA (4120 nucleotides) under Homo sapiens (human). RNAcentral's name for it is "HSALNT0100978". The record is from RNAcentral. Lineage: Eukaryota; Metazoa; Chordata; Mammalia; Primates; Hominidae.